CCCAUUUGUGAAGUUCCAUCACAGGAAGUUCUUCUCCAGUGGCCCCUGAUCCAGGGAGACCCACCCUGCAACAGCCCUUGUCUCCCUCCGCCCUUGGUUCCUUCUCACCCAUCUCACCACCAUCUGCCCAGGGGAGCCACAUGUCCCAAAUUUUGGAGAGAAAAUAAUUGAGGCUCAUUUCCAGGACAGAGGGGCAAGCUGGGUCUAAAGAGCCAAGCAGAAAGGCUUCCCAAAAUCGCUAGGUUGGGAGGGGUCAGAGACGUGUGGCUGCCCCAGCUGUUCUGACUCUGCCCCAGCUUUUGGCUCCACCCCCUUAAAGCACCUUCAGAGGUUCCCAUGGCGACAGUAAACAAGUCUCCACUGCCUUGGCCAUGUGCUGUGUUCACCCCACUCCUGAUCUUGUUGGCUGCUCAGGGGCUGACAGCCCAGAUGUGCAGCUGUGAUGAGCAGAAACAGGGAGGAAUGGAGCCCCCAGGUGAGCGGCGAUUAUCCUGUUGAUCUUGAUUUUGUGGUGCCAUAUCUUGCUCCUGCUGACCCACUUCCUGAAUGUCUGUCAUUCUCACCUGUGUCUCUCCCUUUCUACUCUUCUUCCAGCCAUUGUCAUCACUUCCUCAAGCUGUCUAAAUUCUGCCCAGCAGUCUGUGAAAAUGUUGUGCUGAUGACAUAUGUAAGGACUCUAACUCCCCUCAAACAAUCUGCUCACCUGAAAGGCUCACUCCUGUUGUAAUAAAUGACACAUAAGGUCACAAUUCAACCGGUACCCAUCUUGGAUACCACUUCUUAUGUAAACAUCAA
RNAcentral lists this long non-coding RNA (795 nucleotides) under Homo sapiens (human). RNAcentral's name for it is "non-protein coding LINC01723:22". The record is from RNAcentral. Lineage: Eukaryota; Metazoa; Chordata; Mammalia; Primates; Hominidae.